GUGCCAGCAGCCGCGGUAAUACGUAGGUGCAAGCGUUGCUCGGAAUUACUGGGUGUAAAGGGUUCGUAGGCGGUGUGGCAAGUCGGGAGUGAAAUCUCUGGGCUUAACCCAGAGGCUGCUUCCAAAACUGCUGUGCUCGAGUGUGAGAGAGGCUCGUGGAAUUGCAGGUGUAGCGGUGAAAUGCGUAGAUAUCUGCAGGAACACCCGUGGCGAAAGCGGCGCGCUGGACCACUACUGACGCUGAGGAACGAAAGCUAGGGGAGCAAACAGGAUUAGAUACCCUGGUAGUCC
Molecule: ribosomal RNA, 291 nt
Filed under: uncultured bacterium
Lineage: Bacteria
Description: partial 16S ribosomal RNA
Rfam family: Bacterial small subunit ribosomal RNA
Source: RNAcentral